UACGUAGGGUCCGAGCGUUGUCCGGAAUUACUGGGCGUAAAGAGCUCGUAGGUGGUUUGUCGCGUUGUUCGUGAAAACUCACAGCUUAACUGUGGGCGUGCGGGCGAUACGGGCAGACUGGAGUACUGCAGGGGAGACUGGAAUUCCUGGUGUAGCGGUGGAAUGCGCAGAUAUCAGGAGGAACACCGGUGGCGAAGGCGGAUCUCUGGGCCGAUACUGACGCUGAGGAGCGAAAGCGUGGGGAGCGAACAGG
Molecule: ribosomal RNA, 253 nt
Filed under: uncultured bacterium
Lineage: Bacteria
Description: partial 16S ribosomal RNA
Rfam family: Bacterial small subunit ribosomal RNA
Source: RNAcentral